UACGAAGGGGGGCUAGCGUUGUUCGGAAUUACUGGGCGUAAAGCGCGCGCAGGCGGUCUUCCAAGUCAGUGGUGAAAGCCCGGAGCUCAACUCCGGAACUGCCAUUGAAACUGUUAGACUUGAGGAUGAGAGAGGUGAGUGGAAUUCCCAGUGUAGAGGUGAAAUUUCGUAGAUAUUGGGAAGAACACCGGUGGCGAAGGCGGCUCACUGGCUCAUUACUGACGCUCGAGGCGCGAUAGCGUGGGGAUCAAACAGG
RNAcentral lists this ribosomal RNA (256 nucleotides) under uncultured bacterium. Its description in RNAcentral is "partial 16S ribosomal RNA". It matches the Rfam family "Bacterial small subunit ribosomal RNA", at positions 524 to 776 of the family's 1533-position model. The record is from RNAcentral.